Molecule: ribosomal RNA, 404 nt
Filed under: Acidobacteriota bacterium
Lineage: Bacteria; Pseudomonadati; Acidobacteriota
Description: Acidobacteria bacterium partial 16S ribosomal RNA
Rfam family: Bacterial small subunit ribosomal RNA
Source: RNAcentral
UGGGGAAUAUUGCACAAUGGGGGAAACCCUGAUGCAGCGACGCCGCGUGAGCGAUGAAGUAUUUCGGUAUGUAAAGCUCUAUCAGCAGGGAAGAUAAUGACGGUACCUGACUAAGAAGCUCCGGCUAAAUACGUGCCAGCAGCCGCGGUAAUACGUAUGGAGCAAGCGUUAUCCGGAUUUACUGGGUGUAAAGGGAGCGUAGGCGGUCCUGCAAGUCUGAUGUGAAAACCCGGGGCUCAACCCCGGGACUGCAUUGGAAACUGUAGGACUAGAGUGUCGGAGAGGUAAGUGGAAUUCCUAGUGUAGCGGUGAAAUGCGUAGAUAUUAGGAGGAACACCAGUGGCGAAGGCGGCUUACUGGACGACCACUGACGCUGAGGCUCGAAAGCGUGGGGAGCAAACAGG